This is a long non-coding RNA of Homo sapiens (human), 2617 nucleotides long. Ensembl annotates it as embigin pseudogene 1. Its record names the gene EMBP1. The record is from Ensembl. Lineage: Eukaryota; Metazoa; Chordata; Mammalia; Primates; Hominidae.
GAGGGCUGCAUAACUGAUGGAAGGCCGGGCGCGGUAAGAGCGUCUCGGGGAGUAGGGCAAGGCGGCCGGGCCCCUCCCAUUCCGCCUUUUCUUCAGCGUCCUGCCCGCGGCACUGGCUGCGGGUGCCGGGCCACCUGCGAGUGUGCGGAGGGAUUCCGGACACCCGCGGCGGCGAGCUGAGGGAGCAGUCUCCACGAGAACUGAGGCGGACCCUCUGGCGCCAUGCGCGCCCUCCCCGGCCUGCUGGGGGCGAGGGCGCCUACGCCCCGGCUGCUUCUCCUCCUCCAGUGCCUUCUCGCCGCCGCGCGCCCAAGCUCGGCGGACGGCAGUGCCCCAGGAGUGAGUCCGUGCUGCUGCACAUGCCCCAGCCUGUGAAUCCAGAGCUCACUACAGGGCGCAUCACAGGACUGGUGGACAGGCUCAACCACUUCCGAGAACAUUCUAGUAUGCCAGUAGAAAAAAACAUCACUUUAGAAAGGCCUUCUGAUGUAAAUCUCACAUGCCAGUUCACAACAUCCGGGGAUUUGAAUGCAGUAAAUGUGACUUGGAAAAAAGAUAGUGAACAACUUGAGAAUAAUUAUCUUGUCAGUGCAACAGGAAGCACCUUAUAUACCCAAUACAGGUUCACCAUCAUUAACAGCAAACAAAUGGGAAGUUAUUCUUGUUUCUUCUGAGAGGAAAAAGAACGAAGGGGAACAUUUAAUUUCAAAGUCCCUGAACUUCAUGGGAAAAACAAGCCAUUGAUCUCUUACGUAGGGGAUUCUACUGUCUUGACAUGUAAAUGUCAAAAUUGUUUUCCUUUAAAUUGGACCUGGUACAGUAGUAAUGGGAGUGUAAAGGUUCCUGUUGGUGUUCAAAUGAAUAAAUAUGUGAUCAAUGGAACAUAUGCUAAUGAAACAAAGCUGAAGAUAACACAACUUUUGGAGGAAGAUGGGGGAUUUUACUGGUGCCAUGCACUAUUCCAAUUAGACGAGAGUGAAGAACACAUUGAGCUUGUGGUGCUGAGCUAUUUGGUGCCCCUCAAACCAUUUCUUGCAAUAGUGGCUGAGGUGAUUCUUUUAGUGGCCACCAUUCUGCUUUGUGAAAAGUACACACAAAAGAAAAAGAAGCACUCAGAUGAGGGGAAAGAAUUUGAGCAGAUUGAACAGCUGAAAUCAGAUGAUAGCAAUGGUAUAGAAAAUAAUGUCCCCAGGCAUAGAAAAAAUAGGGAGGAGCCAAGAUGGCCGAACAGGAACAGCUCCGGUCUACAGCUCCCAGCGUGAGCAAUGCAGAAGACGGGUGAUUUCUGCAUUUCCAUCUGAGGUACCGGGUUCAUCUCACUAGGGAGUGCCAGACAGUGGGCGCAGGUCAGUGGGUGCAGUGCACUGUGCGUGAGCCAAAGCAGGGCGACACAUUGCCUCACUCUGGAAGCGCAAGGGGUCAGGGAGUUCCCUUUCCUGGUCAAGGAAAGGGGUGACAGACGGCACCUGGAAAAUCGGGUCACUCCCACCCGAAUACUGCACUUUUCCAAUGGGCUUAGGAAACGGCACACCAGGAGAUUGUAUCCCGCACCUGGCUCGGAGGGUCCUACGACCACAGAGUCUCACUGAUUGCUAGCACAGCAGUCUGAGAUCAAACUACAAGGCAGCAGCGAGGCUGGGGGAGGGGCGCCCGCCAUUGCCCAGGCUUGCUUAGGUAAACAAAGCAGCCAGUAAGCUCGAACUGGAUGGAGCCCACCACAGCUCAAGGAGGCCUGCCGGCCUCUCUAGGCUCCACCUCUGGGGGCAGGGCACAGACAAAUAAAAAGACAGCAGUAACCUCUGCAGACUUAAAUGUCCCUGUCUGACAGCUUUGAGGAGAGCAGUGGUUCUCCCAGCAUGCAGCUGGAGAUCUGAGAACGGGCAGACUGCCUCCUCAAGUGGGUCCCUGACCCCUGACCCCUGAGCAGCCUAACUGGGAGGCACCCCCCAGUAGGGGCAGACUGACACCUCACAUGGCCAGGUACUCCUCUGGGACAAAACUUCCAGAGGAACAAUCAGACAGCAGCAUUUGUGGUUCAUGAAAAUCCGCUGUUCUGUAGACACCGCUGCUGACACCCAGGCAAAGAAGGUCUGGAGUGGACCUCUAGCAAACCCCAACAGACCUGCAGCUGAGGGUCCUGUCUGUUAGAAGGAAAACUAACAAACAGAAAGGACAUCCACACCCAAAACCCUUCUGUACAUCACCAUCAUCAAAGACCAGAGGUAGAUAAAACCACAAAGAUGGGGAAAAAACAGAGCAGAAAAACUGAAAACUCUAAAAAGCAGAGUUCCUCCUCCAAAGGAACGCAGUUCCUCACCAGCAACGGAACAAAGUUGGAUGGAGAAUGACUUUGAUGAGUUGAGAGAAGGCUUCAGACAAUCAAACUACUGCAAGCUACAGGAGGAAAUUUGAACCAAAGACAAAGAAGUUGAAAACUUUGAAAAAAAUUUAGACGAAUAUAUAACUAGAAUAACCAAUACAGAGAAGUGCUUAAAGGAGCUGAUGGAGCUGAAAGCCAAGGCUCGAGAACUACGUGAAGAAUGCAGAAGCCUCAGGAGCCGAUGCGGUCAACUGGAAGAAAGGGUAUCAGUGGUGGAAGAUGAAAUAAAUGAAAUGA